AAACCAGCACCUCAAGUGGUCAGGAUGAUUAUUGGGCCUAAAGCAUCCGUAGCCUGCACUGUAAGUUUUCGGUUAAAUCUGUACGCUUAACGUACAGGCCGCCGGGAAUACUGCAGAGCUAGGGAGUGGGAGAGGUAGACGGUACUCGGGAGGAAGUGGUAAAAUGCUUUGAUCUCUCGAUGACCACCUGUGGCGAAGGCGGUCUACCAGAACACGUCCGACGGUGAGGGAUGAAAGCUGGGGGAGCAAACCGGAUUAGAAACCCGGGUAGUCC
This 274-nucleotide ribosomal RNA is filed under the name uncultured bacterium. RNAcentral describes it as "partial 16S ribosomal RNA". It matches the Rfam family "Archaeal small subunit ribosomal RNA", at positions 473 to 747 of the family's 1478-position model. The record is from RNAcentral.